This 441-nucleotide ribosomal RNA is filed under the name uncultured bacterium. RNAcentral describes it as "partial 16S ribosomal RNA". It matches the Rfam family "Bacterial small subunit ribosomal RNA", at positions 339 to 795 of the family's 1533-position model. The record is from RNAcentral.
CUACGGGGCGCAGCAGUGGGGAAUAUUGGGCAAUGGGCGCAAGCCUGACCCAGCAACGCCGCGUGAGGGAAGAAGGUUUUCGGAUUGUAAACCUCUGUCCUUGGGGACGAAGAAGUGACGGUACCCAAGGAGGAAGCUCCGGCUAACUACGUGCCAGCAGCCGCGGUAAUACGUAGGGAGCAAGCGUUGUCCGGAAUUACUGGGCGUAAAGGGUGCGUAGGCGGCAUAUUAAGUCAGGUGUGAAAUACUCGGGCUCAACCCGGGGGCUGCAUUUGAAACUGAUAUGCUUGAGUGUGAGAGAGGAAAGUGGAAUUCCUAGUGUAGCGGUGGAAUGCGUAGAUAUCAGGAGGAACACCAGUGGCGAAGGCGACUUUCUGGCUCAUAACUGACGCUGAGGCACGAAAGCGUGGGGAGCAAACAGGAUUAGAUACCCUAGUAGUC